GGUGAGGUAAUGGCUUACCAAGGCUAUGAUCUAUAGCUGGUCUGAGAGGACGAUCAGCCACACUGGAACUGAGAUACGGUCCAGACUCCUACGGGAGGCAGCAGUGGGGAAUAUUGGACAAUGGGCGAAAGCCUGAUCCAGCUAUGCCGCGUGAGUGAAGAAGGCCUUCGGGUUGUAAAACUCUUUCAAUAGGGAAGAUAAUGACGGUACCUAUAGAAGAAGUCCCGGCAAACUCUGUGCCAGCAGCCGCGGUAAUACGGAGGGGGCAAGCGUUGUUCGGAAUUAUUGGGCGUAAAGGGCACGUAGGUGGACUAGUAAGUUAAAAGUGAAAUACCAAAGCUUAACUUUGGAGCGGCUUUUAAUACUGCUAGACUAGAG
Molecule: ribosomal RNA, 378 nt
Filed under: Ehrlichia canis
Lineage: Bacteria; Pseudomonadati; Pseudomonadota; Alphaproteobacteria; Rickettsiales; Anaplasmataceae
Description: bacterial SSU rRNA
Rfam family: Bacterial small subunit ribosomal RNA
Source: RNAcentral